Molecule: ribosomal RNA, 501 nt
Filed under: uncultured bacterium
Lineage: Bacteria
Description: partial 16S ribosomal RNA
Rfam family: Bacterial small subunit ribosomal RNA
Source: RNAcentral
AUUGAACGCUGGCGGCAUGCCUUACACAUGCAAGUCGAACGGCAGCACGGGUGCUUGCACCUGGUGGCGAGUGGCGAACGGGUGAGUAAUACAUCGGAACGUACCUUAUCGUGGGGGAUAACGCAGCGAAAGCUGUGCUAAUACCGCAUACGCCCUGAGGGGGAAAGCGGGGGAUCGCAAGACCUCGCGCGAUUAGAGCGGCCGAUGCCUGAUUAGCUAGUUGGUGGGGUAAAAGCCCACCAAGGCGACGAUCAGUAGCUGGUCUGAGAGGACGAUCAGCCAAACUGGGACUGAGACACGGCCCAGACUCCUCCGGGAGGCAGCAGUGGGGAAUUUUGGACAAUGGGGGCAACCCUGAUCCAGCAAUGCCGCGUGAGUGAAGAAGGCCUUCGGGUUGUAAAGCUCUUUUGUCAGGGAAGAAACACCGGCUCUAACACAGUCCGGGAAUGACGGUACCUGAAGAAUAAGCACCGGCUAACUACGUGCCAGCCGCCGCCGUAA